Molecule: long non-coding RNA, 4416 nt
Filed under: Gallus gallus (chicken)
Lineage: Eukaryota; Metazoa; Chordata; Aves; Galliformes; Phasianidae
Source: RNAcentral
UUGUAGUGUAAUUCUUGGCUGUAAAUACAUAUUUGCUUGACUCCCACCGCUGUAUGGUCCACAUGGCAUACUGCAUUUUAUUUUGCCUCUAAACUUUUAUAGGUGGGGAGGAUUUUGGUAUUUGUUAUUAUAAGAUUUUCUCGUCUAGUGCUUUGCUCAAUGGUAAGUCUGCAUUUACCACAGCAGGGAGAGUCUAUUAUAAGCUGUUCUUUUUUUUCCAUGCUGUAGCACUAUUUCUCUCUCUCGCCUACUGAGCUGAAUUACUGCAUACUGGCAAAAAAUGAAACAGCACACACCGGUGCCACCGGCAUGUCGGCCAGGGACAGAAUAUCUAAAUCUGGCUUCAGGAUCAUUUGGUUCUAAUUCUAUUUCCAGUGAAAUCUAUUGAGAAUGAGUCCUUAAUCUUAAAGAAAAAAGAAUCAAGAGCUGUAGUCUCAUAGGCCUGCAUUGUUAACUUUAAACACAGUAGCUGGAUCUCUUCUUUCAGAAGUGUUACUUUUAUGAAAUACAGCUUCAAUCAGAAUUCCUGUAAAAGAGAUCCUCCAAGAACUGUGAGUGAACAAACUGUCGCAUGCUGAUGUUUCGCUCUCCAUCACAGAGCAGUGCUGUUCAUGCAUCAGUACAGCAUGCAGAGCCCUUCUGCAGAUAAGCACUCAGGCAAAUCCAUGUGGGACUAUUACAGUUUUGAACAAUUUAGUAACGUGUAAAAAAAUGCCCAUUUCAGAACAGAGGCCAGCCUUCUGUCCAGGUGUCAGAACUGUUUUCCUUCCUAGUGAAAGAGUAAAGGUGGAGUCACAAUAUUGCACUUGGGGUCCUUGAGGUGGGGCUGCGCUGCAGAGCUCAGUCCACCAGUAAGGCCUGCAGCUCCUUCUGCUCCGAAAUCAGAAGUCAGCUUUUUGCAUGACUUGGCACCUGAAUAUAUUGACCGGUGAUUGGUGGGGGGAAAAUGUCAAAAAUUGCAUAGAAGAACAUGUUACAAGCUUUUAAGCGUAACUCUCAUAUCAAGACAUUCUUUGUUUUAAAAUUUUGUAUUUUUGUAUGUGACCUAGCUUUUUCAAAAAAUGUUGUUCCUAUGAGAUUAGAAAACUUGAGAGAAGCAUUUACAUAUUUAUUAACAUAAAAUUAUGGCUUGCCUUUGAAAGGUAAAGUUGGUAAAUACACACUGUUUAAAAAUGCCAAUAAAAACCUCAUUUAUUUCAUAUAUGCAAGUUGAUUUGCACAUGUAUAAAUAGAGUUGCUUUUUUGCAUUUUUUGCUUAGUUUGUUUCUUUUUGUGCUUUAUAGUCACAGCUGUGUUUGUUUAUAUCAGAUUGUUUCUCCUACAAAUAUUUAAUGUUUAUGUGCCUUUUUUUUUUUCUUUACUUUGGGGUUUGGAUGGCUGCUUUUAAUGCGGACACUGUCUGAACAAGUAUAAUGGAACACUAACUGCAGGUAAAACCCAGUGCUGGAUCACUGUAGAUCUGUUAGCAGAACCCAUUCUGAAUGUUUUGAAAUAACAGGAAGAUCUGCUCUAAAAACGUAGGGGUUAAUAAGAUAAAAGACACUGAAACAUCACUGAUUCUUACCAAAAUUUGCUUCUGCCAGUGAAAUGCCUUUUACUGAACGUCUGUAAUUGGACACGAAUGCUCCUGCUGGGACAGAUGUCUGUGUAAUGACAGAGCAAACUGCACCCGCUGUAUUCUCCUGGGAGACAAUGCUAACAAAAAACCUGUAGGAAUAGUCAGGCUUGAUUUGAUGAACGGGAAGAAUGAAGAUCUGUUCUUUCAGAUAGAAGCGUGUUCAGAUGGAAAUGCACGGAGUGACUCCUGGUGCUCCUAACAUGCAGUCCUUUAUGGAUAUAAAGGAGUCCAUAUCCAAAUGUAUGAGCCUCAGUGGAGAGGGAAUUCUGGCUGUUCAUCUGACUGCAGAAAUCUGUUUUCAUUUCUGUGAGGACGUUUUGUCUAACAGCUGCUGCUCCAGGUUCAGCAGCACAGGCUUGAGGACAGAGCCAGGUUUCUGUGCGCUCCCUGAGCAGCUCUGCUGCAAACACUCGCAGCACUUUGUAACUUGCUCGCUGACAGGUGCUCAGACUUAUCCAAAAUUACCAUCAGGUGCAGCUGAGGUUGUUCACCACAUCUUCUCUCCUUGCUUACUGACAUUGUUCUGUCCUUUAAAUCCUCCUUUGUGUCCACUCUAAAUUACAAAGAUGGGUUACAAGCUGCUACCCUCAGUAUAAACAAAAUUCAGGUUGCUUUCUUUGGCAUAUAUUUUGUUCAUAGUGCCAUUCAGGACCAGAUUUUACUUCAAUGAAAAUUAAAGGGGAUAAAUGAGGCUGGGUACAAUUCUCAUCCAAGUAAUUAAUUUCAUAACUCCCACUGGCUUCACUGGUAGCAGCACUCCUCCAGUAAUUUCUCUUCAAAUUAAAAAAAAACAGCUCUCCCUUUUUAAUAAAGCACCAUCCUACAGCAUAAAGACUAAACCCUUGCAGGUUAUGCUGUGCAUGUUACCAGCAGCCAGUUUUGCUUGCUGCUAUGGCAUUUACCAUCACUAAUUUGGUGUGACUCACCGUAAUAGUAUCGGUUCAGAACAUGGUUAAAUAACUGUCCACUCUGCAUUUCGGAGUGCUAGAGUCUAUUUUUGUUUUGAUUGUUUGUUUUAAAGAGAAUAUCAGUUACCAUUUUCAACUUUAAAGCCUUUCUUCGACAGGUGCUAACUUUUUGGCAUGGCUGUGAGUGACAUUUUCCCUGCAGCUGCUUUCAGCUUUUGACAUAGGAUUGGUUUCCAUUUGUGGUUCUCCUUUGUCCCCAAUGGUUCAGGGACCACUGUAAAGCUGAGGAGAACGGAGCACUGGCAGAUAUAGGCUUCUGGUCAGGCUGGAAAGGCCAGGGACAGGUUUCAUGUAGGUAUGUUUUAAUAAUACUGCCGUAGCGUAGCAUUAAAACAUUUUGUUUAAUGGUCAGUGACUUAAAUCUUGUCUUCAUGUUUUUAGGUAGCUCCAGAGUUGUUUUUAAGUUAGUUUGUAAAUUCCAAAUGUUAUAUUUAAAUGGAAUGCAUAAACAGCAAACUCGACAUAUCAAGUGUGAAAUGUUUACUGUAGGGAUGUAUUGAAAAUUCCAGAGGCUGAACCUCAGAUGUGAGGCACUGCUCAUGUUCUUUCUUCCAGGGAAGAGUAGCAAAGUGCAGCUUCCAUGUGAGUCAUCCUUUACACAUUCACUUAAUUAGAACCAGCGUUGGGUUCUGAUUCAACAGACCUCACCCAACAGCACAAAGCCACCUGCUUAUUAAAUGGGUAAAUAAAGUCAGGUCCUCAAAGCGCUGGUAAAAUGAGUUGUAAUUCCACCUUCCCCACAGUGCGGCGUGUCACACAGCCCAGCCCAGCUCCUGGCAGAAAGUUGUUCCUGGUGUCACACAGGUACGUGGUGAAUCAGGCUGCAUGGCUGGCUGAGGGCAGUUCAUUUUAAUAGGGUUAUACCCAGAACUCAUUUGUUUCAUUAACAAGCUUGCUGUAAUAUGGUGACAGUGAAACCAUUCUAUUUGGUUUUCACAAAGGAAUACGGCAGAGGAGGAAGAAAUGGCAGUUUUUAGUGAAAGGAAAAGGGAGACAAUUUUCUGAGAAAACUUACCCUGCAGAUUAUAAACAGAGCAAUGUUGAAACAUAAGGGUGAGACGGAGCAGCUCUCCUUUCUGAUCUCAUUCCUUCCCUGGAGGCUUCUCCAUAGGGAAAGGCUAGAAAAUUCUGAGUAAUCCCUGUAGCACUGUAAGGGGAGUAAUCAAACAAAAACCUACUGAAAUCUGUCAAAACAAAAGCUGCUUUUUGCAGGAAAUAAUUUGGAGUCAGAGUUUUUACAGUUCCGUAAGAACUUUGGGGUCAGGCUGGUUACUGCGUGUGUUCAGUUGGAAUUCUCUCCUGAAGCCUUGACUCUUUGUUUUAUUUGAACAGUUGUGUUCCACUAUAUUGCGUUCAAACAGUUUGAUUCUGAAAGAUCAGAACACAGUGAUUCAGAUACUGUCAAGUUACUGGGGUUCAGUAGGAUAAGAUUUUAUUUUUUUUAGAAACGUAAAUGUCUGUACUUUAAUGGCAUAGAAAAAUGCUUUGUUUUCACUGUUGUAGAAUAAAACUAGGGAGAACUUUAUUUUUCAAUAAACCUUUUUCUUGUGUGAUUUGGAUCUCUGAUUGUUUUGUGCAUAAAUGGAAAAUCCGUGAGCUGCCACGGACCCAGAGCUGCAUCUGUGUGCCCAUCCUGCAGCCCACAGCUGCCCACGCAGCAGCAGCAGUCCCACGGCCCCCAUCCCAGUGGUAAGAAAGGACGCUUCGUUAUCUUUCUGUUUGGUUUUGUUCUAAAUCUAAAGUGGAUUUAAAAACAGAUAAAAUCAAGAUUCAUUUCAGGAGGGCAACUUGCCCUCUCCAAUAGUUAGACAUAUUUCCUCAAAAUUUUCA